UUCCCGGUCGGGGACGAGGGUGACAGGUGGUGCAUUGGUUGUCGUCAGCUCGUGUCGUGAGAUGUUGGGUUAAGUCCCGCAACGAGCGCAACCCUCGACCUUAGUUGCCAGCAUUCAGUUGGGCACUCUAAGGUGACUGCCGGACUAAAGUCGGAGGAAGGUGGGAUGACGUCAAAUCAUCAUGCCCCUUAUGACCUGGGCUACACACGUGCUACAAUGGGCGGUACAACGAGUUGCGAGUCGGUGACGGCGAGCUAAUCUCUUAAAGCCAAUCUCAGUUCGGAUUGUAGGCUGCAACUCGCCUACAUGAAGUCGGAAUCGCUAGUAAUCGCGGAUCAGCACGCCGCGGUGAAUACGUUCCCGGGCCUU
Molecule: ribosomal RNA, 369 nt
Filed under: uncultured Streptococcus sp.
Lineage: Bacteria; Bacillati; Bacillota; Bacilli; Lactobacillales; Streptococcaceae
Description: bacterial SSU rRNA
Rfam family: Bacterial small subunit ribosomal RNA
Source: RNAcentral